This 393-nucleotide ribosomal RNA is filed under the name Triticum aestivum (bread wheat). RNAcentral's name for it is "partial small subunit ribosomal RNA". The record is from RNAcentral. Lineage: Eukaryota; Viridiplantae; Streptophyta; Magnoliopsida; Poales; Poaceae.
UGUGCAGAGGAGAAUAGCAGGUUAUGCGUCUCGGUGAGAGACUAUUACUGUUACAUGCUCUAGACACGACCUGGGAUAUUCAAUCCCAUACUCUGUGGAGGACGAUUGCUCCAGCAAUGGGGGGUGGACAUGUACAUCAAUAUUGUGAGUUGUAGGUUGAAAUGGUACAGGAAGAACCAGACAAAGAUCCGUGCCGACCUGUAUAAAGGAGUUGUUGAUGCAAUUACAUCCGGGGAGACCCGGGCAAGCGUUGUUGGAGUAAGGAUAGUGCUCCCUGGAACGUACCCAGGUGGCGACCGCGACAUAAAGCGGAGGCAUAUGGAUGCCAUGGCAAUUGUCCAUACCUACGGGAAGCCUGGCAUCUUCUUGACCAUGACCUGCAACCCUAACUAG